AGAGCGAACGCUGGCGGCAGGCCUAACACAUGCAAGUCGAGCGCCCCGCAAGGGGAGCGGCAGACGGGAGAGUAACACGUGGGAACGUACCCUUUGGUUCGGAACAACCCAGGGAAACUUGGGCUAAUACCGAAUAAGCCCUUACGGGGAAAGAUUAUCGCCAAAGGAUCGGCCCGCGUCUGAUUAGCUAGUUGGUGAGGUAACGGCUCACCAAGGCGACGAUCAGUAGCUGGUCUGAGAGGAUGAUCAGCCUCACUGGGACUGAGACACGGCCCCAGACUCCUACGGGAGGCAGCAGUGGGGGAAUAUUGGACAAUGGGCGCAAGCCUGAUCCAGCCAUGCCGCGUGGGUGAUGAAGGCCCUAGGGUUGUAAAGCCCUUUCGGCGGGGAAGAUAAUGACGGUACCCGCAGAAGAACGCCCCGGCUAACUUCGUGCCAGCAGCCGC
RNAcentral lists this ribosomal RNA (446 nucleotides) under uncultured bacterium. RNAcentral describes it as "SSU rRNA". It matches the Rfam family "Bacterial small subunit ribosomal RNA", at positions 26 to 518 of the family's 1533-position model. The record is from RNAcentral.